Molecule: ribosomal RNA, 247 nt
Filed under: uncultured bacterium
Lineage: Bacteria
Description: partial 16S ribosomal RNA
Rfam family: Bacterial small subunit ribosomal RNA
Source: RNAcentral
GGAGUUAGUGGCGAACGGGUGAGGUAACACGUGAGUAACCUGCCCUUAACGUCUGGGAUAAGCCUGGGAAACUGGGUCUAAUACCGGAUAGGAGCGUCCACCGCAUGGUGGGUGUUGGAAAGAUUUAUCGGUUUUGGAUGGACUCGCGGCCUAUCAGCUUGGUUGGUGAGGUAAUGCUCACCAAGGCGACGACGGGUAGCCGGCCUGAGAGGGUGACCGGCCACACUGGGACUGAGACACGGCCCAG